RNAcentral lists this RNase P RNA (357 nucleotides) under Pelagibacteraceae bacterium TMED13. Its description in RNAcentral is "RNase P RNA component class A". It matches the Rfam family "Bacterial RNase P class A". From Rfam's summary of the family: Ribonuclease P (RNase P) is a ubiquitous endoribonuclease, found in archaea, bacteria and eukarya as well as chloroplasts and mitochondria. Its best characterised activity is the generation of mature 5'-ends of tRNAs by cleaving the 5'-leader elements of precursor-tRNAs. Lineage: Bacteria; Pseudomonadati; Pseudomonadota; Alphaproteobacteria; Candidatus Pelagibacterales; Candidatus Pelagibacteraceae. The record is from RNAcentral. RNAcentral also lists the same sequence under 1 other name.
CUAGAUGGUUGUGUGACUGCCUUUUUAAGGAGGAAAGUCCGGACUCAUCAGAGCACCAAAGCCGGAUAACGUCCGGCGGGGGCAACCCUAGGGAAAGUGCAACAGAAAAUAUACCGCCNCAUUUGUGGUAAGGGUGAAAUGGNGAGGUAAGAGCUCACCACUUCNUUGGUAACAAGGAAGGUUUUUGUAAACCCCUUUGGGAGCAAGUCCAAGUAAGCCUNGUCAUUUUUUAUGACAUGCGUUGCUCUGCGUAUAGCUUGGUGGGAUGCUAGAAAUAACUGGUAACAGUUGUUCAAGAUUAAUAGUCACANCCUUAAAAUAUAGGAACAGAAUCCGGCUUAUAUGCCAUCUAGUAUU